AAACUCUAGGAGCCCCUAUCCUACAACCCUGAUACUAGACCUCCAGAAUUUCCUAUCAAGGGCCAUGUCCUCGGAAACCUGCAUUCUAGCCAUGUCGUGCCUAAUCACCUCUCCGCAAUACCUCUUAGGCCUCCCUCUGCCUCGCCGUAUGCCGACCAUCGCCAGAAGCUCACAAUUCCUCGCCGGGGCAUAAGGACUUCUCCUCCUCACAUGCCCGAACCACCUCAGCCUCGCUUCUUGCAUCUUCUCAUCCACCGGGGCCACCCCACCUUCUCUCGAAUAACUUCAUUCUUAAUCUUAUCUAACCGGGUGAGCCCGCAC
This 321-nucleotide long non-coding RNA is filed under the name Nicotiana benthamiana. RNAcentral describes it as "long non-coding RNA (NBEN_LNC031402)". The record is from RNAcentral. Lineage: Eukaryota; Viridiplantae; Streptophyta; Magnoliopsida; Solanales; Solanaceae.